GACGAACGCUGGCGGCGCGCUUAACACAUGCAAGUCGAGCGGUAAGGCCCUUUCGGGGGUACACGAGCGGCGAACGGGUGAGUAACACGUGGGUGACCUGCCUCUAGCUCUGGGAUAAGCCUGGGAAGCUGGGUCUAAUACCGGAUAUGACCUCGCGGUGCAUGUUGCGGGGUGGAAAGCCUUGUGCGGCUGGGGGAUGGGCCCGCGGCCUAUCAGCUUGCUGGUGGGGUGAUGGCCUACCAAGGCGACGACGGGUAGCCGGCCUGAGAGGGCGACCGGCCACACUGGGACUGAGACACGGCCCAGACUCCUACGGGAGGCAGCAGUGGGGAAUCUUGCGCAAUGGGCGAAAGCCUGACGCAGCGACGCCGCGUGAGGGAU
This 381-nucleotide ribosomal RNA is filed under the name uncultured bacterium. RNAcentral describes it as "bacterial SSU rRNA". It matches the Rfam family "Bacterial small subunit ribosomal RNA", at positions 28 to 409 of the family's 1533-position model. The record is from RNAcentral.